Molecule: ribosomal RNA, 454 nt
Filed under: uncultured bacterium
Lineage: Bacteria
Description: bacterial SSU rRNA
Rfam family: Bacterial small subunit ribosomal RNA
Source: RNAcentral
AUUGAACGCUGGCGGCAUGCCUUACACAUGCAAGUCGAACGGUAACGGGCCUUCGGGUGCCGACGAGUGGCGAACGGGUGAGUAAUGCAUCGGAACGUACCUUUCAGUGGGGGAUAACGUAGCGAAAGUUACGCUAAUACCGCAUAUUCUGUGAGCAGGAAAGCAGGGGAUCGCAAGACCUUGCGCUGAUUGAGCGGCCGAUGUCAGAUUAGCUAGUUGGUGAGGUAAAGGCUCACCAAGGCGACGAUCUGUAGCGGGUCUGAGAGGAUGAUCCGCCACACUGGAACUGAGACACGGUCCAGACUCCUACGGGAGGCAGCAGUGGGGAAUUUUGGACAAUGGGGGCGAACCCUGAUCCAGCCAUGCCGCGUGAGUGAAGAAGGCCUCGUGUAAGUACGUACUUCGUCGGACGAAGUACGACGACUAGGUUAAGUUAACCCGUACGUUACGUCGG